CGGGUGGUAAUGCCGGAUGCUCCAGUUGGAUGCAUGUCCUUCUGGGAAAGAUUCAUCGGUAUGGGAUGGGGUCGCGUCCUAUCAGCUUGAUGGCGGGGUAACGGCCCACCAUGGCUUCGACGGGUAGCCGGCCUGAGAGGGCGACCGGCCACAUUGGGACUGAGAUACGGCCCAGACUCCUACGGGAGGCAGCAGUGGGGAAUAUUGCACAAUGGGCGCAAGCCUGAUGCAGCGACGCCGCGUGCGGGAUGACGGCCUUCGGGUUGUAAACCGCUUUUGACUGGGAGCAAGCCCUUCGGGGUGAGUGUACCUUUCGAAUAAGCACCGGCUAACUACGUGCCAGCAGCCGCGGUAAUACGUAGGGUGCAAGCGUUAUCCGGAAUUAUUGGGCGUAAAGGGCUCGUAGGCGGUUCGUCGCGUCCGGUGUGAAAGUCCAUCGCUUAACGGUGGAUCCGCGCCGGGUACGGGCGGGCUUGAGUGCGGUAGGGGAGACUGGAAUUCCCGGUGUAACGGUGGAAUGUGUAGAUAUCG
Molecule: ribosomal RNA, 531 nt
Filed under: Bifidobacterium adolescentis
Lineage: Bacteria; Bacillati; Actinomycetota; Actinomycetes; Bifidobacteriales; Bifidobacteriaceae
Description: bacterial SSU rRNA
Rfam family: Bacterial small subunit ribosomal RNA
Source: RNAcentral